Molecule: ribosomal RNA, 924 nt
Filed under: uncultured bacterium
Lineage: Bacteria
Description: bacterial SSU rRNA
Rfam family: Bacterial small subunit ribosomal RNA
Source: RNAcentral
AGUUUGAUCCUGGCUCAGGAUGAACGCUAGCUACAGGCUUAACACAUGCAAGUCGAGGGGAAACGACAUCGAAAGCUUGCUUUUGAUGGGCGUCGACCGGCGCACGGGUGAGUAACGCGUAUCCAACCUGCCCAUCACUUGGGGAUAACCUUGCGAAAGUAAGACUAAUACCCAAUGAUAUCUCUAGAAGACAUCUGAAAGAGAUUAAAGAUUUAUCGGUGAUGGAUGGGGAUGCGUCUGAUUAGCUUGUUGGCGGGGUAACGGCCCACCAAGGCGACGAUCAGUAGGGGUUCUGAGAGGAAGGUCCCCCACAUUGGAACUGAGACACGGUCCAAACUCCUACGGGAGGCAGCAGUGAGGAAUAUUGGUCAAUGGACGAGAGUCUGAACCAGCCAAGUAGCGUGCAGGAUGACGGCCCUAUGGGUUGUAAACUGCUUUUAUAAGGGAAUAAAGUGAGUCUCGUGAGACUUUUUGCAUGUACCUUAUGAAUAAGGACCGGCUAAUUCCGUGCCAGCAGCCGCGGUAAUACGGAAGGUCCGGGCGUUAUCCGGAUUUAUUGGGUUUAAAGGGAGCGUAGGCCGGAGAUUAAGCGUGUUGUGAAAUGUAGACGCUCAACGUCUGCACUGCAGCGCGAACUGGUUUCCUUGAGUACGCACAAAGUGGGCGGAAUUCGUGGUGUAGCGGUGAAAUGCUUAGAUAUCACGAAGAACUCCGAUUGCGAAGGCAGCUCACUGGAGCGCAACUGACGCUGAAGCUCGAAAGUGCGGGUAUCGAACAGGAUUAGAUACCCUGGUAGUCCGCACGGUAAACGAUGGAUGCCCGCUGUUGGUCUGAAUAGGUCAGCGGCCAAGCGAAAGCAUUAAGCAUCCCACCUGGGGAGUACGCCGGCAACGGUGAAACUCAAAGGAAUUGACGGAAGGGCGU